Molecule: ribosomal RNA, 619 nt
Filed under: uncultured bacterium
Lineage: Bacteria
Description: bacterial SSU rRNA
Rfam family: Bacterial small subunit ribosomal RNA
Source: RNAcentral
CCUACGGGAGGCAGCAGUAGGGAAUAUUGGGCAAUGGAGGCAACUCUGACCCAGCCAUGCCGCGUGCAGGAAGACGGCGUUAUGCGUUGUAAACUGCUUUUAUAUAGGAAGAAAUAGUCCUUGCGAGGAAAGUUGACGGUACUAUAUGAAUAAGCACCGGCUAACUCCGUGCCAGCAGCCGCGGUAAUACGGAGGGUGCAAGCGUUGUCCGGAUUUAUUGGGUUUAAAGGGUGCGUAGGCGGUUUAUUAAGUCAGUGGUGAAAGACGGUCGCUCAACGAUUGCAGUGCCAUUGAUACUGGUAGACUUGAGUGGGAUUGAGGUAGCUGGAAUGGAUAGUGUAGCGGUGAAAUGCAUAGAUAUUAUCCAGAACACCAAUUGCGUAGGCAAGUUACUAAGUCUCAACUGACGCUGAGGCACGAAAGUGUGGGUAUCAAACAGGAUUAGAUACCCUGGUAGUCCACACUGUAAACGAUGAUAACUAACUGUUGGCUUUCGGGUACNGUGGUACAGAGAAUCGUUAAGUUAUCCACCGUGGGGAGUACGCCGGCGAACGGUGAACGUCGAAAGGAAGUUGGACGGCGUGAGACGUAGACCGACGGACGACGACGAGGGAGGAGG